AGUGAACGCUGCGGCGUGCUUAACACAUGCAAGUCGAACGAGAACGGGUUAUAGCUUGCUAUAAUUGUCAGCUAAGUGGCGCACGGGUGAGUAAUGUAUAGGUAAUAUGCCUCUUACUAAGGGAUAACAAAUGGAAACGUUUGCUAAUACCUUAUACUCCUUAUUAACAGAAGUUAAUAAGGGAAAGAUUUAUUGGUAAGAGAUUAGCCUGUAUUGUAUCAGUUAGUUGGUGGGGUAAUGGCUUACCAAGACUAUGACACAUAACUGGUUUGAGAGGAUGAUCAGUCACACUGGAACUGAGACACGGUCCAGACUCCUACGGGAGGCAGCGGUGGGGAAUAUUGCACAAUGGACGAAAGUCUGAUGCAGCAACGCCGCGUGGAGGAUGACACAUUUCGGUGCGUAAACUCCUUUUAUAUGAGAAGAUAAUGACGGUAUUAUAUGAAUAAGCACCGGCUAACUCCGUGCCAGCCGCCGCGGUAA
Molecule: ribosomal RNA, 483 nt
Filed under: uncultured bacterium
Lineage: Bacteria
Description: partial 16S ribosomal RNA
Rfam family: Bacterial small subunit ribosomal RNA
Source: RNAcentral